AGUGCCAUUCUUAACGGGAUGGCUUUUCUUAAGUGUAAAAAGCUUUUGGAAUAAGAGCUGGGCAAGACCGGUGCCAGCCGCCGCGGUAACACCGGCAGCUCUAGUGGUAGCUGUUUUUAUUGGGCCUAAAGCGUUCGUAGCCGGUUUGAUAAGUCACUGGUGAAAUCCUGUAGCUUAACUGUGGGAAUUGCUGGUGAUACUGUUGAACUUGAGGUCGGGAGAGGUUAGCGGUACUCCCAGGGUAGAGGUGAAAUUCUGUAAUCCUGGGAGGACCACCUGUGGCGAAGGCGGCUAACUGGAACGAACCUGACGGUGAGGGACGAAAGCUAGGGGCGCGAACCGGAUUAGAUACCCGGGUAGUCCUAGCCGUAAACGAUGCGGACUUGGUGUUGGGAUGGCUUUGAGCCGCUCCGGUGCCGAAGGGAAGCUGUUAAGUCCGCCGCCUGGGAAGUAUGGUCGCAAGACUGAAACUUAA
This 475-nucleotide ribosomal RNA is filed under the name uncultured archaeon. RNAcentral's name for it is "bacterial SSU rRNA". It matches the Rfam family "Archaeal small subunit ribosomal RNA", at positions 384 to 859 of the family's 1478-position model. The record is from RNAcentral.